CGCAUCUGUGCAUGCAGCAUAUCAAUAAGCGGAGGAAAAGAAACUAACAAGGAUUCCCCUAGUAACGGCGAGUGAAGCGGGAAGAGCUCAAAUUUGAAAUCUUAAAGGGUUUCCCUUUACGAAUUGUAGUUUAAAGAAGUGUUUUCUGUUGAGGUUUUGGUAAAAGUUCUUUGGAAUAGGACAUCAUAGAGGGUGAGAAUCCCGUAUUUGACCUUUACUUUCAACUUUGUGAUACACUUUCAAAGAGUCGGAUUGUUUGGGAAUGCAGUCCAAAAUGGGUGGUAAAUUUCAUCUAAAGCUAAAUAUUGGCGAGAGACCGAUAGCGAACAAGUACCGUGAGGGAAAGAUGAAAAGAACUUUGAAAAGAGAGUUAAACAGUACGUGAAAUUGUCAAAAGGGAAGCGUUUGACACCAGUGUUGUUUUUCUGAAAAUCAAUUAAAGAACUGUUUAUGCUAAGCUUGUUUAGACUUUAUCAGCUAACUGUUUAGUUUUGAGCUUUUCUUUAAUGCACUUUUCAGUUAACAGGUCAACAUCAAUUUCUUUUGCUGUAAAAAAGCUUGAGGAAGGUGGCUUGAGAUUCGUCUUAAGUGUUUAUAGCCUCUUGCCUAUGCAGUCGGAGAGAUUGAGGUCUGCAGCGUAGAUCCUUCGGGGCUAAAUGCAUUUGUGCUAAGUUAUAGCAUUUUAUAGACAACUUGUUGACUAUGAUUUAGUCUUGUAGCUUACUCGCUUAUGUUAUUUUACCUACGCUUAGGAUGUUGAGCGCAUGUCUCUCUCU
RNAcentral lists this ribosomal RNA (776 nucleotides) under uncultured Neocallimastigales. Its description in RNAcentral is "partial large subunit ribosomal RNA". It matches the Rfam family "Eukaryotic large subunit ribosomal RNA", at positions 26 to 616 of the family's 3401-position model. The record is from RNAcentral. Lineage: Eukaryota; Fungi; Neocallimastigomycota; Neocallimastigomycetes; Neocallimastigales.